GUAAAAUGUUUCACUAAACCAGUUUCUCAGUGUGAGCUGAAUCUGCUUCUCUGACUUGUAUCUCCAGGCAUCAGAAGAAAAGAUGAAAGUAGCCAUCAUAGCUGUGUGCCUCCUUGGCCUCCUUUGCCUGUCGUUUGCAGCUCCUUAUGGCGAUGAGCUUGCCCGAGAGAAACGCAGUGGAGAGAACUUUCGCUU
Sardina pilchardus (European sardine) is the source of this 195-nucleotide long non-coding RNA. RefSeq lists it as uncharacterized. The record is from RefSeq and is a predicted model, not a curated record. The transcript has 4 exons. Lineage: Eukaryota; Metazoa; Chordata; Actinopteri; Clupeiformes; Clupeidae.